GAUGAACGCUGGCGGCGUGCCUAAUACAUGCAAGUCGAGCGAACAGACGAGGAGCUUGCUCCUCUGACGUUAGCGGCGGACGGGUGAGUAACACGUGGAUAACCUACCUAUAAGACUGGGAUAACUUCGGGAAACCGGAGCUAAUACCGGAUAAUAUAUUGAACCGCAUGGUUCAAUAGUGAAAGACGGUUUUGCUGUCACUUAUAGAUGGAUCCGCGCCGCAUUAGCUAGUUGGUAAGGUAACGGCUUACCAAGGCAACGAUGCGUAGCCGACCUGAGAGGGUGAUCGGCCACACUGGAACUGAGACACGGUCCAAACUCCUACGGGAGGCAGCAGUAGGGAAUCUUCCGCAAUGGGCGAAAGCCUGACGGAGCAACGCCGCGUGAGUGAUGAAGGUCUUCGGAUCGUAAAACUCUGUUAUUAGGGAAGAACAAAUGUGUAAGUAACUAUGCACGUCUUGACGGUACCUAAUCAGAAAGCCACGGCUAACUACGU
Molecule: ribosomal RNA, 496 nt
Filed under: uncultured bacterium
Lineage: Bacteria
Description: partial 16S ribosomal RNA
Rfam family: Bacterial small subunit ribosomal RNA
Source: RNAcentral